CCCUAUGGCGGGCGGUGCGUGGGGGCCUCGUGCCCGCCGGCGUUUCGCGCUUUUGCCACCGGUAUUGCAACCACGCACCGUCCGCCGCCCUC
RNAcentral lists this non-coding RNA (92 nucleotides) under Stenotrophomonas lactitubi. RNAcentral also lists the same sequence under 1 other name. Lineage: Bacteria; Pseudomonadati; Pseudomonadota; Gammaproteobacteria; Lysobacterales; Lysobacteraceae. The record is from RNAcentral.